Molecule: long non-coding RNA, 469 nt
Organism: Apis florea (little honeybee)
Lineage: Eukaryota; Metazoa; Arthropoda; Insecta; Hymenoptera; Apidae
Gene: mub
Source: RefSeq, a predicted model, not a curated record
CACAGCGCCGCGCAUCGACGGAAUAGAGCGAGACCGGACGUGAGAGAGAACGAGGCAGACUCGUUCGCGUUCCGCCGAGGUGGUGCAGUUUUCCAGUGUCGCGUAGAGUGUAGUGUUUUUCUUCCUUCCCCCGUUUCCGAGCAUCGAGUGUUGUGUGCGUCACGGUGAGGCAAAGCAGACCUAUCCCCCAUGAUUAAGGAGUGCAUUUAGUGCAAGGACUGAACACACCUGGGAGCGAUUGAAAAGCACGUCCCACAGACCCCUCCAACUAAAAUCACUCGCCUAACCUUUCCCCUGCCCACCUUAUCCUGCCUCUUAUCCUUCCCCUCCCCCUUCAAUAUCUCAAGAAGAUAUCUCUCUCUCUCUCUCUCUUUCUCUCUUUUUUCUUCUCUUUCUCUCUCUCUCUCUCUCUCUGAACCACAGGAAUCUGUGACUCCGUUAUGGACAGUAUGGAUUCGAAACCAGUUUU